Non-coding RNA from Paramuricea clavata, 1166 nucleotides. Lineage: Eukaryota; Metazoa; Cnidaria; Anthozoa; Malacalcyonacea; Plexauridae. The record is from the annotation of a GenBank genome assembly.
UGAAGCCAGUGCAUUUUAGUUUUUCUGAGUUAUGAGCAGAAAUACUCAACACUGAACGUAACGGCUAUAUAUCAAAUUGAAGCUAUUGAAAAACGCUAUUUGGUGUAGAAAUUUCAAGACCUUGGCUAAAAGGGAAAUAUUGAAAAACUACAAACAUAAUUACCGAUAAUUUGCCGUUUUGCAGUUGUUUUUGUAUUUUUUAAAUGUUUUUCUUUUCGCUGAAGUCUUGAAAUUUCCACACCGAAUAGCACUUUUCAAUAGCUUUAAUUUAAUAUAUAGCCCGACAUUUGGGGUCAAGUAUUUCUGCUCAUAACUCAGAAAAACUAUUUUGGUUUCAUCAAAUCAUAGGCUUCAUCAUAGCAGUUAGCCUUCCAGUUUAUUUAUAGUUCAAUGGGCUACACCAUUGAACUAAAAAUAACUGGAACGCUACGUUCAGUAAACUGCGCAUGGAAAUUUUGAAGCCAAAAUUUGACUCCCAUGAAGCCAGUUUUGACUCCCAGACACGCACUUCCACGCGUGUUUCUACUGCGCGAUUUACUCGCGAGACAAUGCAGGGGGCGAUCGAAGCAUGCCGUUUUGAACGUUUUCAUGGCAAGAUGCGAAUCGAAAGGGAAACGGGCCUCUUAUUUUAAAACGGGCCUUUUAAAGCCUGUGUACGACCUUGUAUAAAUUAGCUUCAAACUUCCGCUUGAACGUAGCGUUCCAGUUAUUUUUAGUUCAAUGGGCUACACACACUGGCGCAGUCGUCAGAGCAAGCGCCUUUCACCUCUGAGACACAGAAUACUAACACCGCGGAAAAACGUCUGCGCAUGCGUCAACCUUACCUGUAAUAGUAUUGCGAACUUGAUGAGAAGCUGUGCCGAACGUUUCCGAAGGCUCAAAAUGGCGGUAAAAAGAAGUGACUUCAUUGUGCGUCUUUACAGCCAGAUUUCGAGCGCAAAAAUAAACAUGUCAUUUUAAAAACUAGGAAUAAAUACAGCCAGAAGGUUCAAGAAAUUGUAUUGUACAAGAACAUGAACUAAAGGUGAUUGUUGACAAAUUUAUCGUCUGAAACAUUUUGUUUAUCAACUAAGCAACGAUAAUUUUCGUUUGAGAUACAUUUCUUUAAAAAAAACUGUGUCGCCAAAUAUAAAAAAUUUUCGUGUUCACAAUAAUUAAACUUCAGG